GACGAACGCUGGCGGCGUGCCUAAUACAUGCAAGUAGAACGCUGAAGGAGGAGCUUGCUUCUCUGGAUGAGUUGCGAACGGGUGAGUAACGCGUAGGUAACCUGCCUGGUAGCGGGGGAUAACUAUUGGAAACGAUAGCUAAUACCGCAUAAGAGUAGAUGUUGCAUGACAUUUGCUUAAAAGGUGCAAUUGCAUCACUACCAGAUGGACCUGCGUUGUAUUAGCUAGUUGGUGGGGUAACGGCUCACCAAGGCGACGAUACAUAGCCGACCUGAGAGGGUGAUCGGCCACACUGGGACUGAGACACGGCCCAGACUCCUACGGGAUGAAGCAGUAGGGAAUCUUCGGCAAUGGACGGAAGUCUGACCGAGCAACGCCGCGUGAGUGAAGAAGGUUUUCGGAUCGUAAAGCUCUGUUGUAAGAGAAGAACGAGUGUGAGAGUGGAAAGUUCACACUGUGACGGUAUCUUACCAGAAAGGGACGGCUAACUACGUG
Molecule: ribosomal RNA, 495 nt
Filed under: uncultured bacterium
Lineage: Bacteria
Description: partial 16S ribosomal RNA
Rfam family: Bacterial small subunit ribosomal RNA
Source: RNAcentral